Long non-coding RNA from Triticum aestivum (bread wheat), 470 nucleotides. RefSeq lists it as uncharacterized. The transcript is spliced from 3 exons. NCBI's taxonomy places the organism in Eukaryota, Viridiplantae, Streptophyta, Magnoliopsida, Poales, Poaceae. The record is from RefSeq and is a predicted model, not a curated record.
CAUCAGAUUCUAAUCCCCAUUCUCCAACCAUGGCGGGUGCUCACCUUCUCGCCCCUCCCCCUCCACCGUCGAGCGCCUCACCCAGCAGUUCCUCAACAGCCCGCAACUGUUUCUUAAGUCGCUUCCGCUUCUCUCCUCCUGCCUCCCCCUUGCUGCCGUCCGCCGACGACUGGACCUGGAUGGAUGAGCACCUCCUCAAGGCCAAGCAGGCGUGGUGCUCCGGCAGUCUGGCCUCCUCGGCGUCGACGCAAUGUGCAUCCAUUCAGUACUGCAUCCACCAAGAGUUCUAAAGAACAGGGGAAGAUUCCUAUGCUUGGAGUUGAGUCAUGUGAAUAUUCAGAUUUUUAAACACAUGUGCUGCUGCGUGAUGUGCACCGGGGAUAAGGAAAAAAAGAGAAGGUUGUUCAGGUGAUGAGGGAACCAAAUGGGACGCGGGGCUAGGCCUCAAAUGAAUCCAAAAGAGCUCGAUG